This 473-nucleotide ribosomal RNA is filed under the name uncultured bacterium. RNAcentral's name for it is "bacterial SSU rRNA". It matches the Rfam family "Bacterial small subunit ribosomal RNA", at positions 341 to 811 of the family's 1533-position model. The record is from RNAcentral.
ACGGGAGGCAGCAGUGAGGAAUAUUGGUCAAUGGGCGGAAGCCUGAACCAGCCAAGUCGCGUGAGGGAAUAAGGCCCUACGGGUCGUAAACCUCUUUUGCCGGGGAGCAAGGGCCGGGACGAGUCCCGGUCCGGAGAGUACCCGGAGAAAAAGCAUCGGCUAACUCCGUGCCAGCAGCCGCGGUAAUACGGAGGAUGCGAGCGUUAUCCGGAUUUAUUGGGUUUAAAGGGUGCGUAGGCGGGCUUUUAAGUCAGCGGUAAAAAUUCGGGGCUCAACCCCGUCCGGCCGUUGAAACUGGGGGCCUUGAGUGGGCGAGAAGAAGGCGGAAUGCGUGGUGUAGCGGUGAAAUGCAUAGAUAUCACGCAGAACCCCGAUUGCGAAGGCAGCCUUCCGGCGCCCUACUGACGCUGAGGCACGAAAGUGCGGGGAUCGAACAGGAUUAGAUACCCUGGUAGUCCGCACAGUAAACGAUG